GGCGGUCCUCAGGUGACGCACCCUGGAAUCACUCUCCCUCCUCUCUAGUUCCAGGUGCAUCACCCGAGAACCGCA
Molecule: non-coding RNA, 75 nt
Organism: Myotis davidii
Lineage: Eukaryota; Metazoa; Chordata; Mammalia; Chiroptera; Vespertilionidae
Source: Rfam